GUUUGUUUCAAAACUGUACAUUUCAGAUCUUUAAAAUGAAUGGAUAGUGCAUGAUGGAGAAAUUGCAGCUUUUAAUUUCGAUAAUCUAUGAAAUGAUUGCUCAAGUCUCUCCAAUAUAAGAAAACGAGACAUUAUCAGAACACAGCACGGAAACUUUUUGAGUUUAGAAUGUCCAGUGUUCCCUCACCACAGCAGCUCCUUGCAACAGUGUCCUCCGAUCCCACCAUCAAGCCAAUUGCCUCUUUAAUCCCAUGAGCACGAUAGCGAAUGUCAGCUAGCUACCAGCCCACAAAGCACAAAGACCAGCGCUGAAGGUGUCAUCUUGAGCUCACUCGGUACUUGGCCAGUAGAGUCCUCUGAAGCACGAUGAGGAGAAAUACCCCUGCCAAUGUUGUCUCCCUAACCUGUGGGAAUGCCAGAGUCAGUCCCUGUGAAACAUGUAAUGAAGAUCUGCAACUUGAACUUGCACUCCAAGGCUGUAUGAAUCACCCUACACACCACACGGUCAUGCUAUGAUCAGAUGAACCACUCGGGGACACCAUAGGCCUGCUUUCUAAUAAGGUCAUUCCACUGCAGCAGUGUCUUUGGGGUCAAAGCAUCUUACUGGCUGCAUGUCAGUGGCAUCUGGUUGGCUAUUGACAGGAAAGAAGACCCUGAAGGGGUGGGGACAGUUUCACUCUCCAGGUGAAAUAACCAGGAAAGUGUUUUCUUACAGCAAGUGUCGUACCCGAUAUCAUGUUUUCAAACGAAUAUGGAUGUUUGCUUUCACCUACACGGUGAAUAAAUGUGCAUGUCAUGGGAAAUGGGAUUUUGUUUUUUUUAGCCACAGUCACUUUAAUAAAGGGAUGGAUGAAAUGCUACCCAACAAAAUGCAUUAUUUCAGAUAUUACAGAAGGGUAUUA
Acipenser ruthenus (sterlet) is the source of this 902-nucleotide long non-coding RNA. RefSeq lists it as uncharacterized. The record is from RefSeq and is a predicted model, not a curated record. Lineage: Eukaryota; Metazoa; Chordata; Actinopteri; Acipenseriformes; Acipenseridae. The transcript is spliced from 4 exons.